AUUGAACGCUGGCGGCAGGCCUAACACAUGCAAGUCGAACGGUAACAGGAAGCAGCUUGCUGCUUUGCUGACGAGUGGCGGACGGGUGAGUAAUGUCUGGGAAACUGCCCGAUGGAGGGGGAUAACUACUGGAAACGGUAGCUAAUACCGCAUAACGUCUCAAGACCAAAGAGGGGGACCUUAGGGCCUCUUGCCAUCGGAUGUGCCCAGAUGGGAUUAGCUAGUAGGUGGGGUAACGGCUCACCUAGGCGACGAUCCUUAGCUGGUCUGAGAGGAUGACCAGCCACACUGGAACUGAGACACGGUCCAGACUCCUACGGGAGGCAGCAGUGGGGAAUAUUGGACAAUGGGCGCAAGCCUGAUGCAGCCAUGCCGCGUGUAUGAAGAAGGCCUUCGGGUUGUAAAGUACUGUCAGCGGGGAGGAAGGGAGUAAAGUUAAUACCUUUGCUCAUUGACGUUACCCGCAGAAGAAGCACCGGCUAACUCCGUG
This 490-nucleotide ribosomal RNA is filed under the name uncultured bacterium. RNAcentral's name for it is "partial 16S ribosomal RNA". It matches the Rfam family "Bacterial small subunit ribosomal RNA", at positions 30 to 507 of the family's 1533-position model. The record is from RNAcentral.